This 439-nucleotide ribosomal RNA is filed under the name uncultured bacterium. Its description in RNAcentral is "partial 16S ribosomal RNA". It matches the Rfam family "Bacterial small subunit ribosomal RNA", at positions 338 to 795 of the family's 1533-position model. The record is from RNAcentral.
CCUACGGGUGGCAGCAGUGGGGGAUAUUGCACAAUGGAGGAAACUCUGAUGCAGCGACGCCGCGUGAGGGAAGACGGUCUUCGGAUUGUAAACCUCUGUCUUUGGGGAAGAAAAUGACGGUACCCAAAGAGGAAGCUCCGGCUAACUACGGUCCAGCAGGCGCGGUAAUACGUAGGGAGCGAGCGUUGUCCGGAAUGAGUGGGGGUAAAGGGUGCGUAGGCGGGCGAGAAAGUUGACGGUUAAAUCUACCGGCUAAACUGGUAGCUGCGUUGUAAACUUCUUGUCUUGAGUGAAGUAGAGGCAGGCGGAAUUCGUGGUGUAGCGGUGAAAUGCGUAGAUAUUAGGAGGAACACCAGUGGCGAAGGCGGCCUGCUGGGCUUUAACUGACGCUGAGGCUCGAAAGCGUGGGGAGCAAACAGGAUUAGAUACCCCAGUAGUC